GACGAAGGGGGCAAGCGUUGUUCGGAAUUACUGGGCGUAAAGGGCGCGUAGGCGGUUCUUUAAGUCAGGCGUGAAAGCCCUGGGCUCAACCUGGGAGUGGCGCUUGAUACUGGAGGACUAGAGAGUGGGAGAGGUUGGUGGAAUUCCCAGUGUAGAGGUGAAAUUCGUAGAUAUUGGGAAGAACACCGGUGGCGAAGGCGGCCAACUGGACCAUUUCUGACGCUGAGGCGCGAAAGCGUGGGGAACAAACAGG
RNAcentral lists this ribosomal RNA (253 nucleotides) under uncultured bacterium. Its description in RNAcentral is "partial 16S ribosomal RNA". It matches the Rfam family "Bacterial small subunit ribosomal RNA", at positions 524 to 776 of the family's 1533-position model. The record is from RNAcentral.